This is a non-coding RNA of Coturnix japonica (Japanese quail), 2649 nucleotides long. Lineage: Eukaryota; Metazoa; Chordata; Aves; Galliformes; Phasianidae. The record is from RefSeq and is a predicted model, not a curated record.
GGGCGGGCGGGGGGGUUGGAAGGGGGACGCUACACAUGGCAAGAGAAAGAUAUCACUCAUUCGCUUGGAAAACGCUCUCGCAAAGCAAACCGCGAUAGUAGACAUGGGGGACAGCGGGGAAGAAACCGCGAUCAGGAGAAGUCCGUGCUGUGCAACAGCUCCGAAUCCGAUUAAAGUUUAUGGCGGGGAGGUUACAAGCUCACCCACCCCGCCCUUUCUCUGGAGAACCCAUUCAGCGUUCCGAUCGCAUUUAAAGCACAAAGGGACGGGAACAGUGGGAUCUUCGGGUUGUGUGGCUGAUGCGGGGAGCAGUGUGAUGCAGCGUGCUGGCAUUCCCUGCGUGCUGCUAUGUCCGGAUCUUACACUGUAAGCAACAUUUCCUCCUCUCGGAGCUUCAGAACAGCGAGGGGGAAUUUUGAUAAAUUCAAGUUGCUUGGCAAAUAUAAUAGGGAUUUGGUAUUAAUCCUACUUAACCCGCUGAGAAGAUGCUGAGCUGCCGAGUCCCCCUCCUCCGGCCGGGACUGCGGCUGUGAGCACUGAGCCUGCGCCGAGCCGGGCUUUCUCGCUGAUGCUGCAGAUAUAAAGCCGAGAAUCUCCGGCAUUUGCGGGGGUGGGUUUGUGCGUUCUGGAGAGAGUGGCCCGGCCGGGGAGAAACCCCGCAGACCUCCGGAGGGCAGCGGUCCCUUCCUCCCUGGCUCCACGCAGCGCGACUCUGCCCCUCGGGGCUCCCCGUGGAAAGAGGUGGCAACCUUCCGUCCCUCCCACGUUCACUCACCGCCCCGAAUGACAAAGGCACACUGCGAGCAGAGCGUUGAAUCACCUCAACAUCCGGCCACUUUCUCUCAAAUGUCACCGCGGUGAAUGAAAGACAGUUCGCUAUACUCGCCCUCAUGCUUUUUUUUUUUAAUUUUUUUUUUUAAUUUUUAUUUAUCUAUUUAUAAAUUCAGAAUAACCAUGUAAUGCCAGAAGUCCUCACAUGUAGAACCCGCAGCAACUUGUUUUCCCACAUGAGCUCGCGGGGGAGGGGGGAACAGCUGGAGUCGUGCCCUCUCUGUUCACACGCCGGGUUGCUUCCCACUGGAGGCCUCGCAUCGCCCUGGUACCCCUCUGCCCCCCUUGCUCCAAGGGGACAGUACUGCCACGGGAUUCACCCGUGGCGUGGGGGCAGGGCCACGCAGAUGCUAUCGGCGAUUAAAUGGCACAAAGUCAAAAGGAGGAGCGAACAGGGGACGCAGGAAUAAACAAAGUUGAAUGGAGAGCUUCCACGUUAAAGUUUAUUUCCCUCUCACCCAGUCUACGGCGGAGGUGGGGAGGGAGUGAGUAGGAUAGAACCGCUCCAGAUGCCGGGUUGGAGCCGGCGGCAGCAGCAGCGAGACUGACUCUGAGGGCUGAGCUAUCCCGCUCGCAACGCAGCACAGAACAGCACAGCCGCGGCAGGCAGAGGGUAAGGCUGGGCUUGUGGAGCGCAGCGCUUGGCUCGUCCUCCUCCUCCCUCCUCCUCCUCCCUCCUCUCUCGCUCUCUCUCUCCCUCUCUCUGUGCAUGUAGAGCAGGCGGCUGUGCUGCAGCGUCAGGGAAGAGCUGCCGAGAGAGACUCCAGCAGCUCCCACCACUUUGGGCAAAGUUGCCGGUUUAACAGCUUUUUUUUUUGCUUUUUUUUUUUUUUUUUUUUUUUCCCUGCCUUCCGAGUGGGAAGCUCCUCAGUUGCCAUUCAGCAUUUUAAAGCACAAGCUGCUCUGCCGUGAAAGCGCCCGAGCCACACUCCUCUGAAAGGCACAGGAGGGAAUACACAAUCGCAGAUAUCACCCGCCGUAGCGGUGCAGACCCCAGGAAACAACUGACUGAUUGCAUUUUAUUCGCAAAUAGAACUCCGUGUGGUUUUUUACUCGCGUCGCGGCUCUCUUCCCCUCCCCUUGCUAUUCAGCUUAUAUGGAUGUAAUUCAGAAUCUGUGUUAAUUCACGUGGGGGAUCCAGUUACAUCUCGUUCCGCUCCGGGUAUGUUAACGAGAGACCAAUAAUCGCCUUUGGACACAUAGUUUUGUCGCUAACCUUUGAACUGAAAGGAUCGAGUUCAGCUCUGGUUACCUGCAUUGGGACGGGAAGGAAGAGGCGAGAGAGAGAGGCGAGAGAGGGAGAGAGAGACUGCAAUCUCAUUUGUGAAUCGCGCUCAGUGCUGCAGCUUCAGAUUGCUAUAACACAUGCAGUGCAAAUGCAGGUAAGGCACACACACAAACUGCGGAUGCGAAAACAAACUUGGGACUGUGGUGUGUGUGUGCUCAGAUCUACAGCCUUGCAAAUUCCGGGCAAACGGCUUCUGCAGUUUCUGUCUCGUUGCUUUGUGACUAAUGACCUUGCGCAGAGUUGGUAAAAAAAAAUCCUCUCCGGAGAAAGAGCUGAACAUUGUAGGCGAUCUCUGAAGAUGGAUUUAGGUGCUUUUCUGCCAACCAAAGGGGAUAUUCCAUGGACUGCUCUGUAAUACACGGGGUGCUUCUGCUACCCAUUGUGCAGCUACCGACAUUAUUGGGAUUUUUUUUUUCUUUAUCUUUUUAAAUUAUUAUUAAUAUUUUUAAAGAACUGCCCAUGCUAAGAGGAUUUGGAGUUCUCCCGGACACGAGCCCGUUGAAUAAAGCAAAUCACAUUUUUUUUUUUUU